UACAGGGGGUGCAAACGUUGCUCGGAAUUAUUGGGCGUAAAGCGCGCGUAGGCGGCUACUUAAGUCGGAUGUGAAAGCCCCUGGCUCAACUGGGGAAGUGCACCCGAAACUGAGUAGCUUGAGUGCAAAAGAGGGCCGCGGAAUUCCCGGUGUAGAGGUGAAAUUCGUAGAUAUCCGGAGGAACACCGGUGGCGAAGGCGGCUUCCUGGACCGAUUACUGACGCUGAGGCGCGAAAGCUAGGGGAGCAAACGGG
RNAcentral lists this ribosomal RNA (254 nucleotides) under uncultured bacterium. Its description in RNAcentral is "partial 16S ribosomal RNA". It matches the Rfam family "Bacterial small subunit ribosomal RNA", at positions 524 to 776 of the family's 1533-position model. The record is from RNAcentral.